Molecule: transfer RNA, 91 nt
Filed under: Aspergillus calidoustus
Lineage: Eukaryota; Fungi; Ascomycota; Eurotiomycetes; Eurotiales; Aspergillaceae
Rfam family: tRNA
About the family: Transfer RNA (tRNA) molecules are approximately 80 nucleotides in length.
Source: Rfam by way of RNAcentral
GGCCGGGUGGCCUAAUGGUAAGGCGUUUGAUUUCGGCGGUGAGAAGACCUCAAACCUCAAAAGAUUGCGUGUUCGAGUCGCGCCUCGGUCG